GGCGUAGUCGCAGGCACCGGUUCCGGUCGCGCCCCCAACACCGACCCCCGCCGCUGCUGCUGUCGCCCGGUGUCCGGUAUAUGCUCCAUUGGCCGCCUGCUGGUAGUAGGUGGAUGCCGGGUACGGUUUGUCCUGGUGUGCGCCGGGUCCGCCGGUGCUGUAUGCCACGGCUGCGGUAACGGCUGCUGCCCCCGGGUAGUGCCUAAGCGGGUGGUCGGCGGCGUAUCCCGAUGAGUAGAGAGGUAUCUGACCCAAAAACGACUCUGCUGCCGCCGCCUGCCCGCUUCCACCCGUUCCCGGUAGCGUCACCGGGAAAGAGGAGUUGACAAAAUAGGAAUUCAUCAGGAGAAAGAAGAAAAAGAGGAGAAGCCGGAAAAGAGGAGAAGAGGAGAGGGGAGGACAGGAGGGGACGAAACAAACACAAUAACAACGUUCACUCGAUGAAGAAGGAGAAGGAGGAGGAGUAGGCAGAGGCUAACGGCUAGCAGCUAACGGUUCUCCCUCCCGUCCUGCUUCCUCUGCCUUCCCCUGCCUGCACUUUAUGAUUUGUUGUGUUUUAUAGCCGACAGUCCGACGGGCUGCCGCUAUCACUUAGUGUAUCGCAGAUUGGGAGGAGGGGGGGUGUAUUAGGUGGGCUGAGUGCCAGUGUGGGACGGAGGGGCGUGUGGAGGGUGGGGGGCAACAGAGAGAACCUCUCCGUGUGUAUGCGAUCGGAGAACACGGGACGGGGCGAGAAGGGGUAUCGGGUGGGGGGUUGGGGGGCAGACACCAGCUGACCUCGAACUGACCAAUGGGACGCGUCUGUGCCUGGCAUUCGUUCGCUCUUUUCCUUUCGUUGGAGAGGAAGAAGAAGAGGAAGAGGAGGAGGACGCUCCGUUUCCUCUCCACUUUGUGGGAACGGGAAGCAACAGCAUUGUGUUGGAGCUGACUGUGGUGUAAUCAUUAAUGAGCACUAACAGUCGGGACAGGACAGGCAUGGCCUACAGCCUGGGACACACACAAGACGAUGCAAUUGCAGUUGGGAGAAGCGAGCGGCAGACGACACGAAAUAGCAGAGCAAAGAAAAAAAACGGAUGCACCUAAACUUUGGAAACAUUUUGCUAUUUGAGAACCGGAUGGUUGGUCCCUGUGCGAGUGUGUGUCAGGGAGAGGAGUGGGGUGGACAUAAAGGAAUAGCAGAAGGACAUAGUCUGCUUUAAAGCUAGUAAAGAAGUCACAUUUUAUGUCACAUGA
Neolamprologus brichardi is the source of this 1233-nucleotide long non-coding RNA. RefSeq lists it as uncharacterized. The record is from RefSeq and is a predicted model, not a curated record. Lineage: Eukaryota; Metazoa; Chordata; Actinopteri; Cichliformes; Cichlidae.